GCCAACCUCGGUAGAAAAGGUGUUAUUAAUCAAGGUGUUUACGCUACACACCAUACUGGCCAACAAAAAUCCAUUUUAAGUUUAAAUUUGUUUGGAUGACACCAAUUCUGAUGUCAGUUCUGUAAGAUAGUUACAUAGAGAAAUAGAAACAAAUAAGUAACUAUUGGUCCAAACUCCACAUCGUAGUUCAGAAAGCUGUAGAAAAUUCAAAAGAUAAUUGAUUGAUUCUGAAUUCAAAAUACAUAAGCAGCCGAAUUUUUGCUCAGUAAUAUUCUAAUACUCUCAACACGCUGCUCUCCCUAAUCGCGACUCUAGCAGAUGAAUUGCAUGCAGCAACUGAAGUAAAGUAUUGUAGAAGGGAAUCAAUUUAUACCUACAAUUUGUCACCAC
This 390-nucleotide unclassified non-coding RNA is filed under the name Hevea brasiliensis (rubber tree). The record is from RNAcentral. Lineage: Eukaryota; Viridiplantae; Streptophyta; Magnoliopsida; Malpighiales; Euphorbiaceae.